This is a non-coding RNA of Stegodyphus mimosarum, 72 nucleotides long. Lineage: Eukaryota; Metazoa; Arthropoda; Arachnida; Araneae; Eresidae. The record is from Rfam.
GCCUCCGUGGUGUAACGGUUAGCACACUCGGCGCGUAUUCGAGUGGUCCAGGUUCGAGUCCCGGCGAGGGCA